GAUGAACGCUAGCGGGAGGCUUAACACAUGCAAGUCGAGGGGCAGCAUAGGGUAGCAAUACUCUGAUGGCGACCGGCAAACGGGUGAGUAACGCGUAUGCAACCUACCCUGUACAGGGGGAUAACCCGGAGAAAUUCGGACUAAUAUCCCGUAAUAAUAUCCGGAGGCAUCUUUGGAUAUUUAAAGUUCCGACGGUACGGGAUGGGCAUGCGUAACAUUAACUGGUUGGUAAGGUAACGGCUUACCAAGGCUAUGAUGUUUAGGGGUCCUGAGAGGGUGGUCCCCCACACUGGUACUGAGACACGGACCAGACUCCUACGGGAGGCAGCAGUGAGGAAUAUUGGUCAAUGGGCGCAAGCCUGAACCAGCCAUCCCGCGUGCAGGAAGACGGCCCUAUGGGUUGUAAACUGCUUUUCCAGGGAGAGAAACUUACGCACGUGUUGCGUGACUGACGGUACCCUGGGAAUAAGCAUCGGCUAACUCCGUGCCAGCAGCCGCGGUAAUCACAAGAGUA
RNAcentral lists this ribosomal RNA (514 nucleotides) under uncultured bacterium. Its description in RNAcentral is "bacterial SSU rRNA". It matches the Rfam family "Bacterial small subunit ribosomal RNA", at positions 28 to 534 of the family's 1533-position model. The record is from RNAcentral.